CAUGAUCAGCCCGUUCUGUUCGGGAUAACAGUUGGAAACGGCUGCUAAUACCGGAUACGCUCAAAAUGAACUUUUUGAGGAAAGAUGGCCUCUGCUUGCAUGCUAUCACGUAAGGAUGAGUCCGCGUCCCAUUAGCUUGUUGGCGGGGUAACGGCCCACCAAGGCAUCGAUGGGUAGCCGAUUUGAGAGGAUGAUCGGCCACACUGGAACUGAAACACGGUCCAGACUCCUACGGGAGGCAGCAGUGGGGAAUAUUGCGCAAUGGGCGAAAGCCUGACGCAGCGACGCCGCGUGAGGGAUGAAGGUUUUCGGAUCGUAAACCUCUGUCAGAAGGGAAGAAACUACGUUGUGCUAAUCAGCAGCGUACUGACGGUACCUUCAAAGGAAGCACCGGCUAACUCCGUGCCAGCAGCCGCGGUAAUACGGAGGGUGCAAGCGUUAAUCGGAAUUACUGGGCGUAAAGCGCACGUAGGCUGUAGUGUAAGUCAGGGGUGAAAUCCCACGGCUCAACCGUGGAACUGCCUUUGAUACUGCACAACUUGAAUCCGGGAGAGGGUGGCGGAAUUCCAGGUGUAGGAGUGAAAUCCGUAGAUAUCUGGAGGAACAUCAGUGGCGAAGGCGGCCACCUGGACCGGUAUUGACGCUGAGGUGCGAAAGCGUG
Molecule: ribosomal RNA, 661 nt
Filed under: bacterium E51
Lineage: Bacteria
Description: bacterial SSU rRNA
Rfam family: Bacterial small subunit ribosomal RNA
Source: RNAcentral